UACAGAGGUGGCAAGCGUUGUUCGGAAUUACUGGGCGUAAAGGGCGCGUAGGCGGUUCGUUAAGUCCUGUGUGAAAUCCCCCGGCUCAACUGGGGAACUGCACAGGAAACUAGCGGGCUUGAGUUCGGGAGAGGGAAGCGGAAUUCCAGGUGUAGCGGUGAAAUGCGUAGAUAUCUGGAGGAACACCGGUGGCGAAGGCGGCGUUCUGGACUGUUUCUGACACUGAAAAACGAAAGCCAGGGGAGCAAACGGG
Molecule: ribosomal RNA, 253 nt
Filed under: uncultured bacterium
Lineage: Bacteria
Description: partial 16S ribosomal RNA
Rfam family: Bacterial small subunit ribosomal RNA
Source: RNAcentral